CCUACGGGAGGCAGCAGUAGGGAAUAUUGCUCAAUGGGGGAAACCCUGAAGCAGCGACGCCGCGUGGGGGAUGAAGGUUUUCGGAUUGUAAACUCCUUUUGUUAGGGAAGAUAAUGACGGUAUCUAACGAAUAAGCACCGGCUAACUCCGUGCCAGCAGCCGCGGUAAUACGGAGGGUGCAAGCGUUACUCGGAAUCACUGGGCGUAAAGGGCGCGUAGGCGGGAGAGCAAGUCAGAUGUGAAAUCCUAUGGCUUAACCAUAGAACUGCAUUUGAAACUGUUAUUCUAGAGUAUGGGAGAGGUAGGUGGAAUUCUUGGUGUAGGGGUGAAAUCCGUAGAGAUCAAGAGGAACACUCAUUGCGAAGGCGACCUGCUAGAACAUAACUGACGCUGAUGCGCGAAAGCGUGGGGAGCAAACAGGAUUAGAUACCCGUGUAGUC
RNAcentral lists this ribosomal RNA (440 nucleotides) under uncultured bacterium. RNAcentral's name for it is "partial 16S ribosomal RNA". It matches the Rfam family "Bacterial small subunit ribosomal RNA", at positions 338 to 795 of the family's 1533-position model. The record is from RNAcentral.